Long non-coding RNA from Oncorhynchus keta (chum salmon), 1703 nucleotides. RefSeq lists it as uncharacterized. NCBI's taxonomy places the organism in Eukaryota, Metazoa, Chordata, Actinopteri, Salmoniformes, Salmonidae. The transcript has 8 exons. The record is from RefSeq and is a predicted model, not a curated record.
UUUGCCUUGCUGCAGCACGAAUAUGGUCCACAACGUAGCGUUAUCGCCCCCUCCUCUUCUAUUUCCCAUCCUGUGUGUGCGCAAUGCUGCGACUUAUGUUACAUAUACUGCAACUCUCGUUUGCGGCAGAAUUGAUAAGGAAAAGUCGCUAAAUGCCAUCAAAACCCUCGGUGUCAAAACUCCCCAAUGGUUGCCUGAAAAGUAGCUGAAUUUGUCUCUAGAAUCCUUCACAAAUACAAUUCGCUGGAGAGGUCUGACUUAAUCGAAUCCACUCGACUAUUGCUGCGCGAGAUACGUAAUCAAUGUAUUUGGGAACCAGGCGUGGCAUUGUCAUGAAAGUGUUGUUCAAAAUGUUGGUAGAUAAAAGAAAGAGUCGUCUUUUGUAACUCGUUGUAGAACUUAGGUCAUUUUACGAUUCUCUGAUGGAAAGAUGCAAUGAGGAUGAGAGGCCCGUAACGUUAACUUCGGGAAGCAGUGCUCGUACCGUAGUUCUUGCUGUAAAAUUGACUAAUGGCAGUAUAAAGGGGGGGAAUUGCACAUGCAGGAACGCCCUGAAUUGCGCGUCGCAAUCACACCCUUCUAAACAAUUCCAUGAGGAGCGUUUGAAAAAGAAACACUUUAAUUGAACAGUUGCUAAUUCUACAGGAUUAGCAUUGAAAGAGUGACUAGCGGUGGAGAAAUCAGAGGGAAAUCAGAGGACACUGAUGCCCCCGUCCCGUUUCACAGCAAGCAUCCAGUCUGCCUCAAUCACAGUACCAGGGACUGCAAAGGGUGAGGGACCACACCAAUAACAUGGGUCACCCCUGCCACAACACCACCAAACCAGAGGAUUCUGAUCUGGAGAGAGAGCUGGAGAGGGAGUCUGGGGAGGUGGAGAGGCUGAGGAGUGAAGUGCAGACAGGAGGCCCAGAGGCUGAGCAGGGAAGCUGAGACAGCUAGGCUGCAGGCUUGGGAGGAAGUCAAGCAGGAAAUGCAGAAACUGAAGAAGCAACUGGAUGAAUCCAACAUGAAACGCAGAAGCUGAAUAAGGAGAAGAAGGCUCUGCAGGUGACAACAGAGUUUGACGGUCAGACUCAACUCUGAAUGACAUAUUGGCCCUACAAGAGGAGAUGAGGGUUGAGAAGGUCUCGUCUCUGGAGCAGGAGCUGAAGGAGAAGUACCAGUCUAGUGUGUUCCAGCACAGCCUGCAGGACAGAACAGCUGCGCUGGACCUGGAGAGGGUGGCUUGGGAGGCGUGAGAGGGGUCUGGUGAGUGAGUGUAAGGGCGCUCGGACCACAGCCCUGCAGACUUCUGUGGCCUUGGAGGAGCAGCAGCAGCAGAGACCCUCAGGGAAGAACAACACUCUGAAAGCCAAAGACAAGCUACAGACCGGAGACUCAGUGGUCCUCAGCUCAGAGGACGAUGUAGAGGAGGACGGGGUGGGGCAGUCCAGAGCCAAAAGAGAACUCUCAAAAGUGACCUUCUGCAAAAAGGCCUCACAGCAAGGAGGAGCAUGACAGGAAAAUCAAAUGAAUGGAUAGCCUCGAUCAAAACCGCGUGCUGCCUUCCACUGAAGAAGACUAAAUAACAGGCUGAGUUAUGACCCUAAGUGCUCUGAACUGUAGUACUGGAGAAAGGAGAUUGACCUCUGCUGAUGGUUUUGUAGUCUUGCUAUUGGUUGUGUUUAUAAAGACAUGAAUCAGCAUCUUCUUGGACAAAGCUG